AUUACAGUGUUUAAUAGUCACAUGUACAGGGUUACAGGUGUUAUUACAGUGUUUAAUAGUCACAUGUACAGGGUUACAGGUGUUAUUACAGGGUUUAAUAGUCACAUGUACAGGGUUACAGGUGUUAUUACAGGGUACAGUGUUUAAUAGUCACAUGUACAGGGUUGCAGGUGUUAUUACAGGGUACAGUGUUUAAUAGUCACAUGUACAGGGUUACAGGUGUUAUUACAGGGUACAGUGUUUAAUAGUCACAUGUACAGGGUUGCAGGUGUUAUUACAGUGUUUAAUAGUCACAUGUACAGGGUAGCAGGUGUUAUU
Molecule: long non-coding RNA, 318 nt
Organism: Oncorhynchus tshawytscha (Chinook salmon)
Lineage: Eukaryota; Metazoa; Chordata; Actinopteri; Salmoniformes; Salmonidae
Source: Ensembl